RNAcentral lists this ribosomal RNA (498 nucleotides) under uncultured bacterium. RNAcentral describes it as "partial 16S ribosomal RNA". It matches the Rfam family "Bacterial small subunit ribosomal RNA", at positions 30 to 523 of the family's 1533-position model. The record is from RNAcentral.
AUUGAACGCUGGCGGAAUGCUUUACACAUGCAAGUCGAACGGCAGCACGGGGCAACCUGGUGGCGAGUGGCGAACGGGUGAGUAAUACAUCGGAACGUGCCCAAUCGUGGGGGAUAACGUAGCGAAAGUUACGCUAAUACCGCAUAAGAUCUACGGAUGAAAGCGGGGGAUCGCAAGACCUCGCGCGAAUGGAGCGGCCGAUGUCAGAUUAGGUAGUUGGUGGGGUAGAGGCUCACCAAGCCGACGAUCUGUAGCUGGUCUGAGAGGACGACCAGCCACACUGGGACUGAGACAUGGCCCGGACUCCUACGGGAGGCAGCAGUGGGGAACUUUGGACAAUGGGCGAAAGCCUGAUCCAGCAAUUCCGCGUGCAGGAUGAAGGCCUUCGGGUUGUAAACUGCUUUUGUACGGAACGAAACGGUCCUUUCUAAUACAAGGGGCUAAUGACGGUACCGUAAGAAUAAGCACCGGCUAACUACGUGCCAGCCGCCACCGUAA